Molecule: ribosomal RNA, 253 nt
Filed under: uncultured bacterium
Lineage: Bacteria
Description: partial 16S ribosomal RNA
Rfam family: Bacterial small subunit ribosomal RNA
Source: RNAcentral
UACGGAGGGUGCGAGCGUUGUCCGGAAUUACUGGGCGUAAAGCGUGCGCAGGCGGUCUUUUAAGUCAGAUGUGAAAUCCCCGGGCUUAACCUGGGAACUGCGUUUGAAACUGGAAGGCUAGAGUGUGGCAGAGGGGGGUGGAAUUCCACGUGUAGCAGUGAAAUGCGUAGAUAUGUGGAGGAACACCGAUGGCGAAGGCAGCCCCCUGGGCUAACACUGACGCUCAUGCACGAAAGCGUGGGGAGCAAACAGG